RNAcentral lists this ribosomal RNA (114 nucleotides) under Periophthalmus magnuspinnatus. Lineage: Eukaryota; Metazoa; Chordata; Actinopteri; Gobiiformes; Gobiidae. The record is from RNAcentral.
GUUUGUGGCCGUACUGUCUUGUCAGAGCCCGAUCUUGUCGGAUCUGUGAAGCUACGCAGGGUUAGGCCUGGAUAGUACUUGGACGGGACACGGGCAUUCUAGAUUCCGCAGUGG